GGCAGACGGGUGAGUAGCGCGUGGGAACCUGCCUUGGAGUGGGGGAUAACCGAGGGAAACUUCGGCUAAUACCGCAUACGCCCCCGCGAGGAAAGAUUCGCUCCAAGAGGGGCCCGCGUCGGAUUAGGUAGUUGGUGGGGUAACGGCCUACCAAGCCUGUGAUCCGUAGCUGGUCUGAGAGGAUGAUCAGCCACACUGGGACUGAGACACGGUCCAGACUCCUACGGGAGGCAGCAGUGGGGAAUAUUGGACAAUGGGCGCAAGCCUGAUCCAGCAAUGCCGCGUGAGUGAUGAAGGCCUUAGGGUUGUAAAGCUCUUUCGGCGGGGACGAUUGACGGUACCCGCAGAAGAAGCCCCGGCUAACUUCGUGCCAGCAGCCGCGGUAAUACGAAGGGGGCGAGCGUUGUUCGGAUUUACUGGGCGUAAAGGGCGCGUAAGCGGCGGACCUUGUCGAGUGUGAAAGCCCCGGGCUCAACCUGGGAGGUGCGCUCGAGAC
RNAcentral lists this ribosomal RNA (496 nucleotides) under uncultured soil bacterium. Its description in RNAcentral is "bacterial SSU rRNA". It matches the Rfam family "Bacterial small subunit ribosomal RNA", at positions 97 to 633 of the family's 1533-position model. The record is from RNAcentral.